RNAcentral lists this ribosomal RNA (253 nucleotides) under uncultured bacterium. RNAcentral describes it as "partial 16S ribosomal RNA". It matches the Rfam family "Bacterial small subunit ribosomal RNA", at positions 524 to 776 of the family's 1533-position model. The record is from RNAcentral.
UACGUAGGUGGCAAGCGUUGUCCGGAUUUACUGGGCGUAAAGCGCGCGUAGGCGGCUUUUCAAGUCGAUUGUGAAAUCCCCGGGCUUAACCUGGGAACUGCAGUCGAGACUGUCUAGCUAGAGUAUGGGAGAGGGAAGUGGAAUUUCAGGUGUAGCGGUGAAAUGCGUAGAUAUCUGAAGGAACAUCAGUGGCGAAAGCGACUUCCUGGACCAAUACUGACGCUCAUGUGCGAAAGCGUGGGGAGCAAACAGG